RNAcentral lists this long non-coding RNA (207 nucleotides) under Musa acuminata (dwarf banana). Its description in RNAcentral is "long non-coding RNA (MACU_LNC004618)". The record is from RNAcentral. Lineage: Eukaryota; Viridiplantae; Streptophyta; Magnoliopsida; Zingiberales; Musaceae.
AAAAAUGGGUUUAUUAUAGAUUUCGCAUACAUAUAAUUGAAUUGUGUGAAUAUUAUAAUAUGCUUCAUAAAUUAUUAGAAACCAUCGAUUAACACUUUUCCAAGAUCUUCGCUUUCUAUUAUGAAUCCAAUAGUAAAAAUCUUAUGAAAAAUUUGACUAAAUUUUCUAUUGAUCUAUUGAAUAACAUAGAGUUAUGCAUAGACAAGG